RNAcentral lists this transfer RNA (66 nucleotides) under Ochotona cansus (Gansu pika). RNAcentral describes it as "tRNA-Thr". Lineage: Eukaryota; Metazoa; Chordata; Mammalia; Lagomorpha; Ochotonidae. The record is from RNAcentral.
UCCUCGUAGUAUAAUAAUUACCCUGGUCUUGUAAACCAAAAAUGAAGUAUAAACCCUUCCUAGGAC